GAUGAACGCUGGCGGCGUGCCUAAUACAUGCAAGUCGAGCGAACAGACGAGGAGCUUGCUUCUCUGACGUUAGCGGCGGACGGGUGAGUAACACGUGGAUAACCUACCUAUAAGACUGGGAUAACUUCGGGAAACCGGAGCUAAUACCGGAUAAUAUGUUGAACCGCAUGGUUCAACAGUGAAAGACGGUCUUGCUGUCACUUAUAGAUGGAUCCGCGCUGCAUUAGCUAGUUGGUAAGGUAACGGCUUACCAAGGCAACGAUGCGUAGCCGACCUGAGAGGGUGAUCGGCCACACUGGAACUGAGACACGGUCCAGACUCCUACGGGAGGCAGCAGUAGGGAAUCUUCCGCAAUGGGCGAAAUCCUGACGGAGCAACGCCGCGUGAGUGAAGAAGGUCUUCGGAUCGUAAAACUCUGUUAUUAGGGAAGAACAAAUGUGUAAGUAACUAUGCACGUCUUGACGGUACCUAAUCAGAAAGCCACGGCUAACUACGUG
RNAcentral lists this ribosomal RNA (497 nucleotides) under uncultured bacterium. RNAcentral's name for it is "partial 16S ribosomal RNA". It matches the Rfam family "Bacterial small subunit ribosomal RNA", at positions 28 to 507 of the family's 1533-position model. The record is from RNAcentral.